RNAcentral lists this ribosomal RNA (507 nucleotides) under uncultured Glomeromycotina. RNAcentral describes it as "partial small subunit ribosomal RNA". It matches the Rfam family "Eukaryotic small subunit ribosomal RNA", at positions 591 to 1092 of the family's 1831-position model. Lineage: Eukaryota; Fungi; Glomeromycota. The record is from RNAcentral.
CCAAUAGCGUAUAUUAAAGUUGUUGCAGUUAAAAAGCUCGUAGUUGAAUUUCGGGAUUGACGUGACGGUCAUGCCUUAAGGGGUAUGAACUGUUACAGUUGAUUUCUCACCUUCUGGAGAAACUUGAUGUCCUUUAUUGGGUGUCUUGCGGAUCCAGGACCUUUACCUUGAAAAAAUUAGAGUGUUUAAAGCAGGCAUUUUUGCUCGAAUACAUUAGCACGGAAUAAUAGAAUAGGACGGCAUGGUUCUAUUUUGUUGGUUUCUAGGAUCACCGUAAUGAUUAAUAGGGAUAGUUGGGGGCAUUAGUAUUCAAUUGUCAGAGGUGAAAUUCUUGGAUUUAUUGAAGACUAACUACUGCGAAAGCAUUUGCCAAGGAUGUUUUCAUUAAUCAAGAACGAAAGUUAGGGGAUCGAAGACGAUCAGAUACCGUCGUAGUCUUAACCAUAAACUAUGCCGACUAGGAAUCAGACGAUGUUAAUUUUUUAAUGACUCGUUUGGCACCUUACG